GUGCCAGCAGCCGCGGUAAUACGUAGGCAGCGAGCGUUGUUCGGAGUUACUGGGCGUAAGGAGUGCGUAGGCGGUUUUCUAAGUUUGGUGUGAAAUCUCCCGGCUUAACUGGGAGGGUGCGCCGAAAACUGGAAGGCUUGAGUAUGGGAGAGGUAAGCGGAAUUCCUGGUGUAGCGGUGAAAUGCGUAGAUAUCAGGAGGAACACCUGCGGUGUAGACGGCUUACUGGACCAUAACUGACGCUGAGGCACGAAAGCGUGGGUAGCAAACAGGAUUAGAAACCCCGGUAGUCC
Molecule: ribosomal RNA, 292 nt
Filed under: uncultured bacterium
Lineage: Bacteria
Description: partial 16S ribosomal RNA
Rfam family: Bacterial small subunit ribosomal RNA
Source: RNAcentral